Long non-coding RNA from Plodia interpunctella (Indianmeal moth), 695 nucleotides. RefSeq lists it as uncharacterized. Lineage: Eukaryota; Metazoa; Arthropoda; Insecta; Lepidoptera; Pyralidae. The transcript is spliced from 3 exons. The record is from RefSeq and is a predicted model, not a curated record.
CUGAAAGAUUGGUUGAUUAAAUUCUAAUGUCUAAAGAUUAAAAUAAAUUUUAAUCUCCUAUUUAUCUAUUAAGAUAGAUCUGUAAUUAAUUAUAGGAUCCCCAAAUAUUUUGGACCGGCAUUUCUCGUGAAUAAAAGAAAUUUCCAGAGAUCAGCGCGUUCAAACAAAUACACAAACUCUUCAGCUUCAUUAAUUGAAUGUAGAUAAAAAUACACAUAACUGCGGACGCGACUUGGCCUCUUUUCGCUUUUAUGUCCUCAGAAAUAAGAGAUACACUGUGGUGUGGCAUUUAUGGCACACUCCGUUUUCAGCUCAUAAUUCUGUGGCUCGAAAAAUCCUCGGAAUGUUUUCUCGUGUAUAAUGGUCAGAAAUGUUACGCAAAGAUGUGUAGUCCAUCCAUCACCCGGCACGCGGUGGCUGAAAUUUUAUUACUUCUAAAUUGGAGUUUAAAGUUUAAACUUGAAGAACUUUUUCACUAUUACAACUUACAAGGAAGUUUUUGUAAAUAUGAUCAGAUUGAGCAAAAGGAGAUUUUGGCUGAGGGAGAAUUUUGCUAAGACUGAAUCAUAAUAAAAAUACUCAAAUCAUAGGUACAUUUUUUUUUUAAUUACAAAAAACAAAAAAAAAAAUACUUACUAAGUAUGACAGUUCUGUCCUGUGGUGUCAACUUUCAUCAGAACCAAAAAAUAGUAUAU